GGUGACAUAGCCAAGUGGUUUAGGCAGUUGAUUGCAAAUCAACCUACCCCGGUUCGAGUCCGGGUGUCACCU
RNAcentral lists this transfer RNA (72 nucleotides) under Thermoguttaceae bacterium. RNAcentral's name for it is "tRNA-Cys". It matches the Rfam family "tRNA". Rfam says of the family: Transfer RNA (tRNA) molecules are approximately 80 nucleotides in length. Their secondary structure includes four short double-helical elements and three loops (D, anti-codon, and T loops). The record is from RNAcentral. Lineage: Bacteria; Pseudomonadati; Planctomycetota; Planctomycetia; Pirellulales; Thermoguttaceae.